GAGUUUGAUCAUGGCUCAGAUUGAACGCUGGCGGCAGGCUUAACACAUGCAAGUCGAACGGUAACAUGGGUGCUUGCACCUGAUGACGAGUGGCGGACGGGUGAGUAAUGUAUGGGGAUCUGCCGAAUGGAAUGGGACAACAGUUGGAAACGACUGCUAAUACCGUAUAAUGUCGCGAGACCAAAGUGUGGGACUUUCGGGCCACAUGCCAUUUGAUGAACCCAUAUGGGAUUAGCUAGUAGGUGGGGUAAUGGCUCACCUAGGCGACGAUCUCUAGCUGGUCUGAGAGGAUGACCAGCCACACUGGAACUGAGACACGGUCCAGACUCCUACGGGAGGCAGCAGUGGGGAAUAUUGCACAAUGGGGGAAACCCUGAUGCAGCCAUGCCGCGUGUAUGAAGAAGGCCUUAGGGUUGUAAAGUACUUUCGGUGAUGAGGAAGGUACUUGGUCUAAUAGGCCAAGUAAUUGACGUUAAUUACAGAAGAAGCACCGGCUAACUCCGUGCCAGCAGCCGCGGUAAUACGGAGGGUGCGAGCGUUAAUCGGAAUGACUGGGCGUAAAGGGCAUGUAGGCGGAUGAUUAAGUUAGGUGUGAAAUCCCCGAGCUCAACUUGGGAAUUGCAUUUAAAACUGGUCGUCUAGAGUAUUGUAGAGGAAGGUAGAAUUCCACGUGUAGCGGUGAAAUGCGUAGAGAUGUGGAGGAAUACCGGUGGCGAAGGCGGCCUUCUGGACAGAUACUGACGCUGAGAUGCGAAAGCGUGGGGAGCAAACAGGAUUAGAUACCCUGGUAGUCCACGCUGUAAACGAUGUCGAUUUGGAGUUUGGGGGCAUGUCCCUUGGGCUCCGGAGCUAACGCGUUAAAUCGACCGCCUGGGGAGUACGGCCGCAAGGUUAAAACUCAAAUGAAUUGACGGGGGCCCGCACAAGCGGUGGAGCAUGUGGUUUAAUUCGAUGCAACGCGAAGAACCUUACCUGGUCUUGACAUCCAUAGAAUCUUUCAGAGAUGAGAGAGUGCCUUCGGGAGCUAUGAGACAGGUGCUGCAUGGCUGUCGUCAGCUCGUGUUGUGAAAUGUUGGGUUAAGUCCCGCAACGAGCGCAACCCUUAUCCUUUGUUGCCAGCGGUUCGGCCGGGAACUCAAAGGAGACUGCCGUUGAUAAAGCGGAGGAAGGUGGGGACGACGUCAAGUCAUCAUGGCCCUUACGACCAGGGCUACACACGUGCUACAAUGGCGUAUACAAAGGGAAGCGAAGGAGCGAUCUGGAGCGGACCUCCUAAAGUACGUCUAAGUCCGGAUUGGAGUCUGCAACUCGACUCCAUGAAGUCGGAAUCGCUAGUAAUCGUGAAUCAGAAUGUCACGGUGAAUACGUUCCCGGGCCUUGUACACACCGCCCGUCACACCAUGGGAGUGGGUUGCACCAGAAGUAGAUAGCUUAACCGAAAGGGGGGCGUUUACCACGGUGUGAUUCAUGACUGGGGUGAAGU
This 1483-nucleotide ribosomal RNA is filed under the name Cronobacter sp. C106. Its description in RNAcentral is "bacterial SSU rRNA". It matches the Rfam family "Bacterial small subunit ribosomal RNA". The record is from RNAcentral. Lineage: Bacteria; Pseudomonadati; Pseudomonadota; Gammaproteobacteria; Enterobacterales; Enterobacteriaceae.